ACACAUGCAAGUCGAACGAGAAUGUACUGACGGAUCCUUAGGGUGAAGAUAGUACAGGACAGUGGCGGAUGGGUGAGUAACGCGUAAGAAACCUGCCUUUCACACCGGGAUAGCAGCUGGAAACGGCUAUUAAUACCGGAUGACACUUUUUCCCCGCAUGAGGAAGAGGUUAAAGAAUUUCGGUGAAAGAUGGUCUUGCGUCUGAUUAGCUAGUUGGUGGGGUAACGGCCUACCAAGGCGACGAUCAGUAGCCGGCCUGAGAGGGUGUACGGCCACAUUGGGACUGAGACACGGCCCAAACUCCUACGGGAGGCAGCAGUGGGGAAUUUUGCACAAUGGAGGAAACUCUGAUGCAGCGACGCCGCGUGAACGAAGAAGGUCUUCGGAUUGUAAAGUUCUGUCCUGGGUGAAGAUAAUGACGGUAACCCAGGAGGAAGCCCCGGCUAACUACGUGCCAGCAGCCGCGGUAAUACGUAGGGGGCGAGCGUUGUUCGGAAUUAUUGGGCGUAAAGGGUACGUAGGCGGUUUGUUAAGUUUGGCGUUAAAUCACGGGGCUCAACCCCGUUCAGCGUUGAAAACUGGCAAACUUGAGUAGUAGAGGGGACAGUGGAAUUCCUAGUGUAGCGGUGAAAUGCGUAGAGAUUAGGAAGAAUACCGGUGGCGAAGGCGACUGUCUGGAUACAUACUGACGCUCAGGUACGAAAGCGUGGGGAGCAAACAGGAUUAGAUACCCUGGUAGUCCACGCCCUAAACGAUGAGUGCUAGGUGUCGGG
RNAcentral lists this ribosomal RNA (773 nucleotides) under uncultured bacterium. RNAcentral describes it as "bacterial SSU rRNA". It matches the Rfam family "Bacterial small subunit ribosomal RNA", at positions 51 to 827 of the family's 1533-position model. The record is from RNAcentral.